This 688-nucleotide ribosomal RNA is filed under the name uncultured bacterium. RNAcentral describes it as "bacterial SSU rRNA". It matches the Rfam family "Bacterial small subunit ribosomal RNA", at positions 126 to 812 of the family's 1533-position model. The record is from RNAcentral.
CUGCCCCUGUCAGGGGGACAACCCGCCGAAAGGCGGGCUAAACCCGCGUACAUGCCACCGGGGCAUCCCGGAGGCAGGAAAGGCUUCGGCCGGACAGGGAUGGGCAUGCGGCGCAUUAGGCAGUAGGCGGGGUAACGGCCCACCUAACCGACGAUGCGUAGGGGUUCUGAGAGGAAGGUCCCCCACACUGGUACUGAGACACGGACCAGACUCCUACGGGAGGCAGCAGUGAGGAAUAUUGGUCAAUGGUCGGGAGACUGAACCAGCCAAGCCGCGUGAGGGAUGAAGGUACAGAGUAUCGUAAACCUCUUUUGUCAGGGAACAAAGGCGGGGACGUGUCCCCGGAUGAGUGUACCUGAAGAAAAAGCAUCGGCUAACUCCGUGCCAGCAGCCGCGGUAAUACGGAGGAUGCGAGCGUUAUCCGGAUUUAUUGGGUUUAAAGGGUGCGCAGGCGGUCUGUUAAGUCAGCGGUCAAAGCCCGGGGCUCAACCCCGGCCCGCCGUUGAAACUGGCAGUCUCGAGUUGGAGAGAAGUAUGCGGAAUGCGCGGUGUAGCGGUGAAAUGCAUAGAUAUCGCGCAGAACUCCGAUUGCGAAGGCAGCAUGCCGGCUCCACACUGACGCUGAGGCACGAAAGCGUGGGUAUCGAACAGGAUUAGAUACCCUGGUAGUCCACGCAGUAAACGAUGA